UAAUACGUAGGUGGCAAGCGUUGUCCGGAAUUAUUGGGCGUAAAGCGCGCGCAGGCGGUCUUUUAAGUCUGAUGUGAAAGCCCACGGCUCAACCGUGGAGGGUCAUUGGAAACUGGAAGACUUGAGUGCAGAAGAGGAGAGUGGAAUUCCACGUGUAGCGGUGAAAUGCGUAGAGAUGUGGAGGAACACCAGUGGCGAAGGCGACUCUCUAGUCUGUAACUGACGCUGAGGCGCGAAAGCGUGGGGAGCAAACAGGAUUAGAUACCCUGGUAGUCCACGCUGUAAACGAUGAGUGCUAAGUGUUAGAGGGUUUCCGCCCUUUAGUGCUGCAGCUAACGCAUUAAGCACUCCGCCUGGGGAGUACGACCGCAAGGUUGAA
This 379-nucleotide ribosomal RNA is filed under the name uncultured bacterium. RNAcentral describes it as "bacterial SSU rRNA". It matches the Rfam family "Bacterial small subunit ribosomal RNA", at positions 521 to 898 of the family's 1533-position model. The record is from RNAcentral.